Molecule: ribosomal RNA, 465 nt
Filed under: uncultured bacterium
Lineage: Bacteria
Description: partial 16S ribosomal RNA
Rfam family: Bacterial small subunit ribosomal RNA
Source: RNAcentral
GACGAACGCUGGCGGCGUGCUUAACACAUGCAAGUCGAACGGAAAGGCCCUGCUUGCAGGGUACUCGAGUGGCGAACGGGUGAGUAACACGUGGGUGAUCUGCCCUGCACUUCGGGAUAAGCCUGGGAAACUGGGUCUAAUACCGGAUAGGAGCCAUUUUUAGUGUGAUGGUUGGAAAGUUUUUUCGGUGUAGGAUGAGCUCGCGGCCUAUCAGCUUGUUGGUGGGGUAAUGGCCUACCAAGGCGGCGACGGGUAGCCGGCCUGGGGGGGUGGACGGCCACAAUGGGACUGAGGUGAGGCCCAGGUGCCGAAGGGGGGCAAGAGGGGGGAAGAUUGGACAAGGGGCGCAAGCCUGAUGCAGCGACGCCGCGGGGGGGAAGACGGCCUUCGGGUUGGAAACACCUUUCGCUAGGGACGAAGCUUUUUGUGACGGUACCUAGAGAAGAAGCACCGGCUAACUACGUG